RNAcentral lists this ribosomal RNA (1522 nucleotides) under metagenome. RNAcentral describes it as "bacterial SSU rRNA". It matches the Rfam family "Bacterial small subunit ribosomal RNA". The record is from RNAcentral.
AGAGUUUGAUCAUGGCUCAGAUUGAACGCUGGCGGCAGGCCUAACACAUGCAAGUCGAACGGUAACAGGAAGAAGCUUGCUUCUUUGCUGACGAGUGGCGGACGGGUGAGUAAUGUCUGGGAAACUGCCUGAUGGAGGGGGAUAACUACUGGAAACGGUAGCUAAUACCGCAUAACGUCGCAAGACCAAAGAGGGGGACCUUCGGGCCUCUUGCCAUCGGAUGUGCCCAGAUGGGAUUAGCUAGUAGGUGGGGUAACGGCUCACCUAGGCGACGAUCCCUAGCUGGUCUGAGAGGAUGACCAGCCACACUGGAACUGAGACACGGUCCAGACUCCUACGGGAGGCAGCAGUGGGGAAUAUUGCACAAUGGGCGCAAGCCUGAUGCAGCCAUGCCGCGUGUAUGAAGAAGGCCUUCGGGUUGUAAAGUACUUUCAGCGGGGAGGAAGGGAGUAAAGUUAAUACCUUUGCUCAUUGACGUUACCCGCAGAAGAAGCACCGGCUAACUCCGUGCCAGCAGCCGCGGUAAUACGGAGGGUGCAAGCGUUAAUCGGAAUUACUGGGCGUAAAGCGCACGCAGGCGGUUUGUUAAGUCAGAUGUGAAAUCCCCGGGCUCAACCUGGGAACUGCAUCUGAUACUGGCAAGCUUGAGUCUCGUAGAGGGGGGUAGAAUUCCAGGUGUAGCGGUGUAAUGCGUAGAGAUCUGGAGGAAUACCGGUGGCGAAGGCGGCCCCCUGGACGAAGACUGACGCUCAGGUGCGAAAGCGUGGGGAGCAAACAGGAUUAGAUACCCUGGUAGUCCACGCCGUAAACGAUGUCGACUUGGAGGUUGUGCCCUUGAGGCGUGGCUUCCGGAGCUAACGCGUUAAGUCGACCGCCUGGGGAGUACGGCCGCAAGGUUAAAACUCAAAUGAAUUGACGGGGGCCCGCACAAGCGGUGGAGCAUGUGGUUUAAUUCGAUGCAACGCGAAGAACCUUACCUGGUCUUGACAUUCACAGAACUUUCCAGAGAUGGAUUGGUGCCUUCGGGAACUGUGAGACAGGUGCUGCAUGGCUGUCGUCAGCUCGUGUUGUGAAAUGUUGGGUUAAGUCCCGCAACGAGCGCAACCCUUAUCUUUUGUUGCCAGCGGUCCGGCCGGGAACUCAAAGGAGACUGCCAGUGAUAAACUGGAGGAAGGUGGGGAUGACGUCAAGUCAUCAUGACCCUUACGACCAGGGCUACACACGUGCUACAAUGGCGCAUACAAAGAGAAGCGACCUCGCGAGAGCAAGCGGACCUCAUAAAGUGCGUCGUAGUCCGGAUUGGAGUCUGCAACUCGACUCCAUGAAGUCGGAAUCGCUAGUAAUCGUGGAUCAGAAUGCCACGGUGAAUACGUUCCCGGGCCUUGUACACACCGCCCGUCACACCAUGGGAGUGGGUUGCAAAAGAAGUAGGUAGCUUAACCUUCGGGAGGGCGCUUACCACUUUGUGAUUCAUGACUGGGGUGAAGUCGGAACAAGGUAACCGUAGGGGAACCUGCGGUUG